GAUGCCAACACUCACAGGGUGGCUCACGACCAUUAGUAACUCUAGUUCUUGGGAAUCCUGCAUCCUCUGUUGACACUGCAUGCUUGUGGUGCAUAUAUACACAUGGGUGGUGAAUAUACAUACAGGCAGGCAGAACACCCACACACAUGAAAAUAAGUACAGUAAUUUGCUGCUGUUGUUGAGGCUGGAGACAUAGAUCAGUGACUAAGAGUACUUACUGUUCUUGGCAGAGGUUGCAAGUUCUGGUCCCUUGGCAGCUUACAAGUCCCUGUAACUCCAGUUUCAGAAGAUCCAGUGCCCUCUUCUUGCCCUUGCUGCCAUUGACACACAUGGCACACAUGCUCACAGCUUUGCACGCAUUCGCACACAAAGUAUUUUUUAGUGUGUGGAUGGCAAGAGUGGAGUUGGGGAGAGCAGUUGGGGGGUCUAGGCUAGAGAACAGUGCCUGGCUCUGAGAAGUGGCUACAGCUAAGGUAUACUUGGAGAUCUAGUGUGACUGAUGGAUUGAACCUGAGGAAGAGCAGGGAUGCCACUUACAUUCAGGUCUCAGCCUGAGUGGCCAGGCGUGGGGUGGAGCGGAGCUGAAGGGGGAGUGGCUUUGGAGCGUGGGAAGGAGACUGUAUGAAGGCUUUCCCUUUGGCUGUUUUUAACUUUCAGAAGUAUGUUACCCUUUGAAGCAGAAAUGCCGGGUGGCCAUUGGAGAUGUGAGUCUGCGAUCAGGGUGUACAGUGGGGCUUAAGAUUAAAUUCAGAGGUUACACAUUUUAUCUUUAAACCACUCCAUUGUGGUCUCAGAGAAAGAAUUUGGCUUCUAAUAAGGAAUUUGUGCUAAUUUGAUCAGAAUCAUGAGAAAGAAUAAAAUCUAACAACCUUUUUUUUUCUUCUGAGAACAGU
RNAcentral lists this long non-coding RNA (893 nucleotides) under Mus musculus (house mouse). RNAcentral describes it as "long non-coding RNA chr12:24856976-24857869". Lineage: Eukaryota; Metazoa; Chordata; Mammalia; Rodentia; Muridae. The record is from RNAcentral.